GAGCUUGCUCUUCUUGGAUGAGUUGCGAACGGGUGAGUAACGCGUAGGUAACCUGCCUUGUAGCGGGGGAUAACUAUUGGAAACGAUAGCUAAUACCGCAUAACAAUGGAUGACACAUGUCAUUUAUUUGAAAGGGGCAAUUGCUCCACUACAAGAUGGACCUGCGUUGUAUUAGCUAGUAGGUGAGGUAACGGCUCACCUAGGCGACGAUACAUAGCCGACCUGAGAGGGUGAUCGGCCACACUGGGACUGAGACACGGCCCAGACUCCUACGGGAGGCAGCAGUAGGGAAUCUUCGGCAAUGGGGGCAACCCUGACCGAGCAACGCCGCGUGAGUGAAGAAGGUUUUCGGAUCGUAAAGCUCUGUUGUAAGUCAAGAACGAGUGUGAGAGUGGAAAGUUCACACUGUGACGGUAGCUUACCAGAAAGGGACGGCUAACUACGUGCCAGCAGCCGCGGUAAUACGUAGGUCCCGAGCGUUGUCCGGAUUUAUUGGGCGUAAAGCGAGCGCAGGCGGUUUGAUAAGUCUGAAGUUAAAGGCUGUGGCUCAACCAUAGUUCGCUUUGGAAACUGUCAAACUUGAGUGCAGAAGGGGAGAGUGGAAUUCCAUGUGUAGCGGUGAAAUGCGUAGAUAUAUGGAGGAACACCGGUGGCGAAAGCGGCUCUCUGGUCUGUAACUGACGCUGAG
RNAcentral lists this ribosomal RNA (688 nucleotides) under uncultured Bacilli bacterium. RNAcentral's name for it is "bacterial SSU rRNA". It matches the Rfam family "Bacterial small subunit ribosomal RNA", at positions 76 to 750 of the family's 1533-position model. Lineage: Bacteria; Bacillati; Bacillota; Bacilli. The record is from RNAcentral.